UUUACCAGAGUACUAUGAAUAUAAAAAAUUUAAAACUCAAAGAACUUGGCGGUGUUUUAGACCACUUAGGGGAACCUGUCUCGUAAUCGAUAAUCCACGUUAUAUCUGACCUUUUUUUGUUUUCAGUUUGUAUACCGUUGUCGUCAGGUAACUUUUUAGAAACUAGAAGUUAGCAAUAGAAAUAUAGUAAUUUAAUACGUCAAAUCAAGGUGCAGCUAAUAAAAAGGGGAGGAUGGGUUACAAUUAUAUGAUUUAUAAUACGGGAAAAUAUAUGAAAUAUAUAUUAGUUUAAAGGCGGACUUAAAAGUAAAUUAAAUUUAUAUAAAUAAUUUGAAUAGGGCUCUGAAACGUGU
RNAcentral lists this ribosomal RNA (353 nucleotides) under Clathroterebra sp. MNHN IM 2013-58750. RNAcentral's name for it is "partial 12S ribosomal RNA". The record is from RNAcentral. Lineage: Eukaryota; Metazoa; Mollusca; Gastropoda; Neogastropoda; Terebridae.